UGGUGGACCCUGCUGACUUGCUCACUACUGGCAAGCAAAGUGUUCACUGAUGAAUGAACAAUUACAUUUACCCACAGACUGAAAUAUGAUGUUAUUUUGUUUUGACUGAAAUUCCAACUCACUGUGAGAAUACUGUGAAAAAAAUCAUGAGAAGUAUCCUCAUAGGUGAGUCUUUUCACACAUCUGCACUAGUGAAUAUCUGAAUUUUAAAAGCCACUCCAGACCUACAUAGGUGAUGAACGAUGUGUACUUGAAAACAGUACACUCUUGCACAGCUGUCCCUGGAGCUUCCCCGUGGAGCUGUUAAACUUGCCCUCCGCUGGCUGUUUUCCACAAAGUAAUAUGGUUACAUAGAUUCACGGCUCAUGGCAAUGUUUCAUUAAGACAGUUCUUGAUGGCCGCUCCACACCUUUCUCACCACAUCUCACAGGCUGCCCUGCUGAGCCAGGUCUCCCUGGAACCCGGGGCUCCUGCGCAGGCCCCCAUUUUGCUCCAGAACACCCAGGAAGGCGGGGCUUGGGCUGGAAUGGGGACACCGAUUACCCUCUGUUCAGGCCUUUGGUGCCAGCUGAGGUCGAUACUGGUGCCAGGAUCGAGACUGUGCGCAUCCCAUCGAGAGCGGGCAGAUGUGGGGGCGCACUGGACCGGGCCUCCCAGGCUGACACCCAUUCACAGCAGCCUGAGCCUAAUCCGCCACUGCUCGCCUUCCUCCGACGUCUCCACCUAAACCAUCCUUCUGCACAUUGUGACCCAUCACUCCGCCCUUUGUCC
RNAcentral lists this long non-coding RNA (771 nucleotides) under Homo sapiens (human). Its description in RNAcentral is "non-protein coding lnc-LONRF1-1:2". Lineage: Eukaryota; Metazoa; Chordata; Mammalia; Primates; Hominidae. The record is from RNAcentral.